CACAGCUGCAACAUUGAGGGAAGAAGAAGUGCUGAUUUGACCUUCUUCCUGCAGUGUCGCGUUUAGAAGAUGUCUGGACUACAGGUUGGAAUUAAGAAUUUGUGGGCCAGGUUGGGCCCAUACUACACUAAGGCAUACCCAGAGGUGUGGGUUGGUUUCGUUCUCACGACAUAUGCCUAUUACAAAAUUUCCUAUGGAGGAAAGAAGAAGGCUGUGCAGGACAAACUGUCCCACUGAUGUUUGCAGCAUACUGCCUGACUCCGCCCACUGUGGAAAAAGGCUCCGGUCCACAACCCCACCCUCAAGUUUUGUUGUUAAUAUGGAACAAAUAAACUUAUUCACAGUC
Thalassophryne amazonica is the source of this 346-nucleotide long non-coding RNA. RefSeq lists it as uncharacterized. The transcript is spliced from 4 exons. The record is from RefSeq and is a predicted model, not a curated record. NCBI's taxonomy places the organism in Eukaryota, Metazoa, Chordata, Actinopteri, Batrachoidiformes, Batrachoididae.